AUCGAUACAACCUAUGCCUGAGAGGCUAGGGAGGGUUUUUAUUCUCAGAUCAAUAAAUUAUCCAAUAUUGAAAAGGAAACCAGUAUUAGCAUUUAUAGAUGUGUUGAUUUGGGGAAAACAGCUCCUCAUAUAGCAGCAGAGGAUGACUCCCUGAUAUCACAUUCAUCAGUUCCUCUCCCUGUGAAUGCUUUCAUCGACCGAUUGGAUGAUCUUUCCGUGGGAUAUUGCCCUCAUUAUAACUCAUCUUUGAAGUCAUCAUGAGAAAUUUUUUUUGGAUAGUAUAGAGAGAUAUUUGUUUGAUAAAAAGAUUUUGAUGUGGAGAUAGCAUUCCCUCUUGACCAUGGUCUUCCUAGGGGAUAUCAGAAGCAGAAGAGCAGGGAAUCUGAUAAGUCACACAUUAUGACUGUGCAAAUAUUGUUG
Long non-coding RNA from Pistacia vera, 420 nucleotides. RefSeq lists it as uncharacterized. The transcript has 3 exons. NCBI's taxonomy places the organism in Eukaryota, Viridiplantae, Streptophyta, Magnoliopsida, Sapindales, Anacardiaceae. The record is from RefSeq and is a predicted model, not a curated record.